GACGUUCAACCUCAAAAGAAGCAGAGGGGGCUUAGUGGUGGGGUGACUGCGUACCUUUUGUAUAAUGGGUCAGCGACUUAUAUUCUGUAGCAAGGUUAACCGAAUAGGGGAGCCGGAGGGAAACCGAGUCUUAAUUGGGCGUUAAGUUGCAGGGUAUAGACCCGAAACCCGGUGAUCUAGCCAUGGGCAGGUUGAAGGUUGGGUAACACUAACUGGAGGACCGAACCGACUAAUGUUGAAAAAUUAGCGGAUGACCUGUGGCUGGGGGUGAAAGGCCAAUCAAACCGGGAGAUAGCUGGUUCUCCCCGAAAGCUAUUUAGGUAGCGCCUCGUGAAUUCAUCUCCGGGGGUAGAGCACUGUUUCGGCUAGGGGGCCAUCCCGGCUUACCAACCCGAUGCAAACUGCGAAUACCGGAGAAUGUUAUCACGGGAGACACACGGCGGGUGCUAACGUCCGUCGUGAAGAGGGAAACAACCCAGACCGCCAGCUAAGGUCCCAAAGUCAUGGUUAAGUGGGAAACGAUGUGGGAAGGCCCAGACAGCCAGGAUGUUGGCUUAGAAGCAGCCAUCAUUUAAAGAAAGCGUAAUAGCUCACUGGUCGAGUCGGCCUGCGCGGAAGAUGUAACGGGGCUAAACCAUGCACCGAAGCUGCGGCAGCGACACUGUGUGUUGUUGGGUAGGGGAGCGUUCUGUAAGCCUGUGAAGGUGUGUCGUGAGGCAUGCUGGAGGUAUCAGAAGUGCGAAUGCUGACAUAAGUAACGAUAAAGCGGGUGAAAAGCCCGCUCGCCGGAAGACCAAGGGUUCCUGUCCAACGUUAAUCGGGGCAGGGUGAGUCGACCCCUAAGGCGAGGCCGAAAGGCGUAGUCGAUGGGAAACGGGUUAAUAUUCCCGUACUUGGUGUUACUGCGAAGGGGGGACGGAGAAGGCUAUGUUGGCCGGGCGACGGUU
This 947-nucleotide ribosomal RNA is filed under the name Salmonella enterica subsp. enterica serovar Senftenberg. Its description in RNAcentral is "partial 23S ribosomal RNA". It matches the Rfam family "Bacterial large subunit ribosomal RNA", at positions 568 to 1503 of the family's 2925-position model. Lineage: Bacteria; Pseudomonadati; Pseudomonadota; Gammaproteobacteria; Enterobacterales; Enterobacteriaceae. The record is from RNAcentral.